GACGAACCGUGCGAACGUUGUUCGGAUUCACUGGGCUUAAAGGGCGCGUAGGCGGGUGUUCAAGUCCGGGGUGAAAUCCUCCAGCUCAACUGGAGAAUAGCCCUGGAUACUGAACGUCUGGAGGGAGGUAGGGGCAUGUGGAACUUCCGGUGGAGCGGUGAAAUGCGUAGAUAUCGGAAGGAACGCCGGUGGCGAAAGCGACGUGCUGGACCUCUUCUGACGCUGAGGCGCGAAAGCCA
Molecule: ribosomal RNA, 239 nt
Filed under: uncultured bacterium
Lineage: Bacteria
Description: partial 16S ribosomal RNA
Rfam family: Bacterial small subunit ribosomal RNA
Source: RNAcentral